CGCAAGCCUGACGGAGCAACGCCGCGUGAGGGAUGAAGGCCUUUGGGCUGUAAACCUCUUUUCUCAAGGAAGAAGACCUGACGGUACUUGAGGAAUAAGCCACGGCUAAUUCCGUGCCAGCAGCCGCGGUAAUACGGGAGUGGCAAGCGUUAUCCGGAAUUAUUGGGCGUAAAGCGUCCGCAGGCGGCCGUUUAAGUCUGUUGUUAAAUCGUGGAGCUCAACUCCAUCACGGCAAUGGAAACUGUUCGGCUUGAGUAUGGUAGGGGCAGAGGGAGUUUCCGGUGUAGCGGUGAAAUGCGUAGAUAUCGGGAAGAACACCAGUGGCAAAAGCGCUCUGCUGGGCCAUUACUGACGCUCAUGGACGAAAGCCAGGGGAGCGAAAGGGAUUAGAUACCCCUGUAGUCCUGGCCGUAAACGAUGAACACUAGAUGUUGGGGGAAUCGACCCCUCCGGUGUCGUAGCUAACGCGUUAAGUGUUCCGCCUGGGGAGUACGCACGCAAGUGUGAAACUCAAAGGAAUUGACGGGGGCCCGCACAAGCGGUGGAGUAUGUGGUUUAAUUCGAUGCAACGCGAAGAACCUUACCAAGGCUUGACAUCCUGCGAAUCUCCAAGAAAUUGGAGAGUGCCUUCGGGAACGCAGUGACAGGUGGUGCAUGGCUGUCGUCAGCUCGUGUCGUGAGAUGUUGGGUUAAGUCCCGCAACGAGCGCAACCCACGUUUUUAGUUGCCAGCAUUCAGUUGGGCACUCUAGAAAGACUGCCGGUGACAAACCGGAGGAAGGUGUGGACGACGUCAAGUCAUCAUGCCCCUUACGCCUUGGGCUACACACGUACUACAAUGCUGCGGACAAAGAGUAGCGAUCUUGCAAAAGUUAGCUAAUCUCGUAAACCGUGGCUCAGUUCAGAUCGUAGGCUGCAACUCGCCUACGUGAAGGAGGAAUCGCUAGUAAUCGCAGGUCAGCAUACUGCGGUGAAUACGUUCCCGGGCCUUGUACACACCGCCCGUCACACCAUGGAAGUUGGCCAUGCCCGAAGUCGUUACUCUAACCUUUUGGAAGAGGGCGCCGAAGGCAGGGCUAAUGACUGGGGUGAAGUCGUAACAAGGUAGCCGUAGCGGAAGCUGCGGCUGGAUCACCUCCUAA
This 1141-nucleotide ribosomal RNA is filed under the name Candidatus Synechococcus spongiarum. RNAcentral describes it as "bacterial SSU rRNA". It matches the Rfam family "Bacterial small subunit ribosomal RNA", at positions 376 to 1533 of the family's 1533-position model. Lineage: Bacteria; Bacillati; Cyanobacteriota; Cyanophyceae; Synechococcales; Synechococcaceae. The record is from RNAcentral.